GCCGAAGUGAUGAAAUUAGUAGACACGCACGUUUCAGGGGCGUGUGUCUUUACGAACAUGCGAGUUCGAGUCUCGCCUUCGGCA
RNAcentral lists this transfer RNA (84 nucleotides) under Rudanella sp. RNAcentral describes it as "tRNA-Leu". It matches the Rfam family "tRNA". From Rfam's summary of the family: Transfer RNA (tRNA) molecules are approximately 80 nucleotides in length. Their secondary structure includes four short double-helical elements and three loops (D, anti-codon, and T loops). Lineage: Bacteria; Pseudomonadati; Bacteroidota; Cytophagia; Cytophagales; Cytophagaceae. The record is from RNAcentral.